CCCUUAGAUGUCCUGGGCCGCACGCGCGUUACACUGAUGCAUUCAACGAGCUUAUAACCUUGGCCGAGAGGCCUGGGCAAUCUUGUUAACGUGCAUCGUGAUAGGGAUAGAUUAUUGAAAUUAUUAAUCUUGAACGAGGAAUUCCUAGUAAACGCAGAUCAUCAAUCUGCAUUGAUUACGUCCCUGCCCUUUGUACACACCGCCCGUCGCACCUACCGAUUGGAUGGUCCGGUGAAGCCUCGGGAUUGUGGUUCUUGCCGCUUUAUUGUGGCGUGACCGCGAGAACUUGUCUAAACCUUAUCAUCUAGAGGAAGGUGAAGUCGUACA
RNAcentral lists this ribosomal RNA (327 nucleotides) under uncultured eukaryote. Its description in RNAcentral is "partial 18S ribosomal RNA". It matches the Rfam family "Eukaryotic small subunit ribosomal RNA", at positions 1470 to 1796 of the family's 1831-position model. The record is from RNAcentral.